This is a long non-coding RNA of Pogona vitticeps (central bearded dragon), 3112 nucleotides long. The record is from Ensembl. Lineage: Eukaryota; Metazoa; Chordata; Lepidosauria; Squamata; Agamidae.
AUGUUGUGUCUCACUGUGUUCAUCGCUCACAUACUUGGACAAGGAGACCAAAUCCUGAUCUGGAUAAUCCUCCCAAGGAGGAAGAGAAAGGUUUCGGACGUGGUGCUUCUCCCACAAUUGGGAGCCCACUCAAGUCACCUGCUCUGUCCUCGGAUGGAUCACUUCUGCCAUCCUCCUCCCCGGAGUCCCCUCCAGAGCCAAACCACUGGCUGGAACAACUGCUAUCAGCCCCUGAGCCCCCCAGCCCUGUGCCAGAGGUGGCCUGACCUGUUGGGAACCAUCUCAACAUGUCUGUGGCCCCAGACAGCCCACCAAAGGAAAGCUUAGGGGGCCAGAGACUGAUAGAUAGGGGCCCCUCUCCCUCUCGGCCCCAAAGCUCGGUGGUGGAGUGUUUGAUGGAAGACCCAACUCUUCCUUAGCAUGUCAUCUGUGAAGUGGGUCCCGUGGGGUCGCCUUCCGAUUCAGCAUUCUCUGUCCUGUCUCCUGAACCGGAGCAUCGUGGCCCAUGGGGUGAGGCCGAUGGGGAUCAAUCCCAUAAUGAUCUGACCCAAACCCUCACCCCACCCACAAAUGUUUUCAGGGAUGAGGUAUUGCCCAAGGCAAAAGAGGAACAGGCCAACGAUGGGGAUGAAGACAAUCAACGUCUCCUCCUGGCGGAGAUGCCCAUGGCUGCCCCACCCAACCUGGAGACAUAUGCAUGGGAACAGUGAGAAGAUCACAGCUGUCAUCACCCUCACUGGCACCCCCUCCUGUGCCCAAACCCUGGGGGGAGAAAUUGUUGGUGAUCCCUGAGCCCCCGAGCCCUGCGGUGGAGAUGCCACAGAAGGCAGCAAAGUGGGAUGCUCAGAGGGAGAUGUGUCUCUGCUGGUGGACCUGAAUGAAUUACAUCAAAAGUCUGAAUUUGUAGCCGAAGCUAGCUGGGAUGCUUGUGGAGGUGCUUCUGAGGCUUUCUCACCUUCUCCAGAAGAACCUCCUAAAUCAGAGGAUCAUGGCCUGGGGGCUCAGGCCAAUGGGGAUAUGCGCUUCCAGGACCAGCUGGCCUCGCUGUGAGUAUAUGAAAACGAGGGAGUAAACCAGAGCAGAAGGGGAGGGCCUUUUUCCUACUCUUAUGCUACACUUGGCUUUGAAUUGUUGUCUUGCCAUUCAAUCUUUAUUUCAAAUGGUGCUGGUUGUUGCCCUGAUUGCAUCCUGUUUUAAAAACAAAACACAACACUUUUUUGCUCAUUUGACUGUUUUGUUCAGUUUGUCAAAAUGCCACUCCUCCACAGACAGAGAAGUGGGAGGAAUCUUAGCCACGCAAACUGAAAUCAGGACGAAGCCCAAAAGAGGUGGGAAUAGUGGAAAAUUCAGUCAUUCGUAAGGAUCAUUAUUUUGUUUCUUUUGCCUUUCUUCCAAUUUCUGUCUCCCAAUGGCACAGAGGGGCUCAAGAUGGGAGCUUCAGCAGCGGCAAGAGCAGCUCCUCCAGAAAUCACCCCAUCAGAAGAACAAGUUGGUGGAAGAUCUGGACCUUGAAGUGACGCAGUGAGUAUUCCUGUUCCCGGUUGACGGAUAAAAGAGGGAGCCAACUAGUGGUGGGUGGUUUAUGGCCAAGAGGGAAAACCCCUGUUUCCUGUCCCAUCUCCCAAGAUCUGGGGUUUGAGAUCAGCGGUUUUUCCAGUUUAUGGACACGCUCUCUGCCAUCUGAGACAGUAACCCUGAGCUUAGGUGGACCCAUGGUGCCUUUGGUGUAAGGCAGUGUCUUCUACUCCCAUUCAAAUGGCCUUUUAUUGAGCAUACUGAGGACUAGAAUCUCCAGUUUGUUCCACUUGCGGGGCAGUGUGGUGCUAUCUAUUUCCCAGCCAUCAUAUGGCACACAAGGAAAUGCGCUCCAGCCUGACCCAGAUUCGUGGCCAAACUAAAUCCUUUUGGUCCGAUUAUUGGGCUAUUACUUUUGGGGUGUUUUGGGCCAAAAUAGUUGGAAGGAUCACUUUAAGGGAGAUGGCUUUGGUAAAUGCAUAAAGUGGUUAACUCUGCUUUGUUUUGGGUUUUUUUUUUUUUGGGGGUCUCCAAUCUUUAAUGCUCCCUCUCAUCUUUCUUUCCUUCCUCUUUUCCUCAUCCCCUGUUUCUUCUGAAUUACUCCUGAAUCUGACAGGGCUGCAGAGGUGGGUGCCUGUCCUGGAAUAAGGCUGCUACUAAGGAGGUGGAAACACAGGAAGAAAAACAGGUGUUCCAUCUGUUGAGAGGGUCCGAGCUGGCCCAGAGGGACUCUUAGAGAAGAUCAAGUCCAUCCCUGUUCAGUAGAAGAUCUGGCGUGAAUCCACUUUCACCCAACAGUGUCAUCCUCGUCUAAGCAGCCAUUCAGUUGUUUCUGCUUUCUCCACCCCCUUUCCUUCCCACCCCCUCCAGGGUCCUCUCCACCCCCUUUCCUUUCCAUGCCUAAAUGUGUUGGUGUGUGAUUUAGAACAAUUUACACAUCUGUAAAUGGGUAUUUACUAAGUAACACACUUCUACUAUGGAAUAACGAUCCGGGGUAACACUCACUGCCUCGUCAUGAAGAACAUUUUCUCUUGAUUUGAGGCUGGUCCUAACAUUAGGGAGAGCACAGAGCAACAGGAAAAGACAGCAAAGUUACCACCAUCCUACAUUGCUAUGGUGUUUUUACUGGCAGGUGCCUCGGGAAUAUUUUGCUUUAUGGGUCCAAAUCACCGUUGGUGCCGAAUGACCUUACCUUCACUAGGGCAACCAGACUCUGAAGUUUGGGGCUGUGCCUCAGGCAGCGAAAAGUUACAGGACACUCCCUGGUUGCGCAUGUGCCCAGACUAAAGUAUGCUACAGGGCAGUUUGAGUCUUUUCAUAUAAUCUCGUGUUGUCGAAAGAAGAUUUGGUGUUUCUCAGUUUGCACGCAAGUCCCUCAGCUCCUGCAGCUCUUUAGCUCGGCAAGGGAAAAGACCAAACUUGGGAAGUUCCUUUUAAAAACUCCAGCUACCUCAACAGUGGGUGAAAGUUCAUUAUGUUGAAAAACAAACUUAUUAUGUGUUUUGAGGCCUGUUAUUUUGUUGUUGUUGUUGUUACUGUGCUUUUUCCUUCCUAAAAAAAAAAACCAAUAAAAUGUAGUUCAAUCCUUCUUGUUGCA